Molecule: ribosomal RNA, 482 nt
Filed under: uncultured bacterium
Lineage: Bacteria
Description: bacterial SSU rRNA
Rfam family: Bacterial small subunit ribosomal RNA
Source: RNAcentral
UUGAACGUUGGCGGCAUGCCUUACACAUGCAAGUCGAACGGCAGCACGGGAGCAAUCCUGGUGGCGAGUGGUGAAUGGGUGAGUAAUAUAUCGGACUGUAUUUGGUAGUGGGGGAUAGUCCGGCGAAAGUCGGAUUAAUAUUGUAUACGAUUUGAGGGUGAAAGCGGGGGAUCGCAAGACCUCGCGCUACUGGAGCGGCCGAUGGCAUAUUAGGUAGUUGGUGGGGUAAAGGCCUACCAAGCCUACGAUCUGUAGCUGGUUUGAGAGGACGAUCAGUCAUAUUGGGACUGAGACACGGUUCAGAUUUUUAUGGGAGGUAGUAGUGGGGAAUUUUGGACAAUGGACGAAAGUCUGAUCCAGCAAUGCCGCGUGCAGGAUGAAGGCCUUCGGGUUGUAAACUGCUUUUGUACGGAACGAAACGGUCCGCCUUAAUACGGUGGGCUAAUGACGGUACCGUAAGAAUAAGCACCGGCUAACUACGU